CCUGCUCUGCCCCCCCGCUCCACUCGUAUCGACCGUGUUCUGUCACACUUGUCAUUGAUAAAUGCUCGAUAAGUUUGGCAAAUAUUUGUGUGCAGCUCGCAAGGUGUUAAUUGCAGCACACGGCAACUAUCUAUUACCCAUGAGCUGUCAUGUCCUUGGAUGAGGGGGUAGCGUUGCCAUGGGGGGUAUUGUUGUGGCGAUUUAGACACCUCAGCACACGUACGUUACAGAUAGCCAUUGGAGUUAGUUUCCGUCAAACAUUCACAGGUUUUUAUCCAAGUGAUAACCGAAU
RNAcentral lists this long non-coding RNA (292 nucleotides) under Drosophila guanche. Lineage: Eukaryota; Metazoa; Arthropoda; Insecta; Diptera; Drosophilidae. The record is from RNAcentral.